This 492-nucleotide ribosomal RNA is filed under the name uncultured bacterium. Its description in RNAcentral is "partial 16S ribosomal RNA". It matches the Rfam family "Bacterial small subunit ribosomal RNA", at positions 29 to 507 of the family's 1533-position model. The record is from RNAcentral.
AGUGAACGCUGGCGGCAUGCCUAACACAUGCAAGUCGAACGGCAGCACAGUAAGAUCUUGCCCCUACGGGUGGCGACUGGCGGACGGGUGAGGAAUACAUCGGAUUCCACUUUUUCGUGGGGGACAACGUAGGGAAACUUACGCUACUACCUCAUACGUCCUACGGCUGAAAUCAAGGGAUCUUCGGACCUUGCCCGAUUCAAUGAGCCGAUGUCGGAUUAGCUAGUUGGCGAGGUAAAGGCACACCAAGGCGACGAACCGUAGCUGGUCUGAGAGGAUGAUCAGCCACACUGGAACUGAGACACGGUCCAGACUCCUACGGGAGGCAGCAGUGGGGAAUAUUGGACAAUGGGCGAAAGCCUGAUGCAGCAAUGCCGCGUGGGUGAAGAAGGCCUUCGGGUUGUAAAGCCCUUUUGUUGGGAAAGAAAAGCAGCAGAUUAAUACCCCGCUGUUCUGACGGUACCCAAAGAGAAAGCACCGGCUAACUUCGUG